This 433-nucleotide ribosomal RNA is filed under the name uncultured bacterium. RNAcentral's name for it is "bacterial SSU rRNA". It matches the Rfam family "Bacterial small subunit ribosomal RNA", at positions 29 to 506 of the family's 1533-position model. The record is from RNAcentral.
GCGAACGCUGGCGGCGUGCUUAACACAUGCAAGUCGAACGAGACCUUCGGGUCUAGUGGCGGACGGGUGAGUAACGCGUGGGAAUCUACCUUGCGGCGGGGAAUAACUACUGGAAACGGUAGCUAAUACCGCAUACGCCCUUCGGGGGAAAGGCUUCGGCCACCGCUUGAGGAUCCCGCGUCCGAUUAGCUAGUUGGUGAGGUAACGGCUCACCAAGGCGACGAUCGGUAGCUGGUCUGAGAGGAUGAUCAGCCACACUGGGACUGAGACACGGCCCAGACUCCUACGGGAGGCAGCAGUGGGGAAUAUUGGACAAUGGGGGAAACCCUGAUCCAGCGACGCCGCGUGGGUGAUGAAGGCCUUCGGGUUGUAAAGCCCUUUCGUCCACGAUGAUGAUGACAGUAGUGGAAGAAGAAGCUCCGGCUAACUCCGU